GACGAACGCUGGCGGCGUGCUUAACACAUGCAAGUCGAACGGAAAGGCCCUGCUUUUGUGGGGUGCUCGAGUGGCGAACGGGUGAGUAACACGUGAGUAACCUGCCCUUGACUUUGGGAUAACUUCAGGAAACUGGGGCUAAUACCGGAUAGGAGCUCCUGCUGCAUGGUGGGGGUUGGAAAGUUUCGGCGGUUGGGGAUGGACUCGCGGCUUAUCAGCUUGUUGGUGGGGUAGGGGCUUACCAAGGCUUUGACGGGUAGCCGGCCUGAGAGGGUGACCGGCCACAUUGGGCCUGAGAUACGGCCCAGACUCCUACGGGAGGCAGCAGUGGGGAAUAUUGCACAAUGGGCGGAAGCCUGAUGCAGCGACGCCGCGUUCGUGAUGACGGCCUUCUGGUUGUAAACCGCUUUCGCCUGUGACGAAGCGUGAGUGACGGUAAUGGGUAAAGAAGCACCGGCUAACUACGUG
This 468-nucleotide ribosomal RNA is filed under the name uncultured bacterium. RNAcentral's name for it is "partial 16S ribosomal RNA". It matches the Rfam family "Bacterial small subunit ribosomal RNA", at positions 28 to 507 of the family's 1533-position model. The record is from RNAcentral.